This 279-nucleotide ribosomal RNA is filed under the name uncultured bacterium. RNAcentral's name for it is "partial 16S ribosomal RNA". It matches the Rfam family "Bacterial small subunit ribosomal RNA", at positions 506 to 784 of the family's 1533-position model. The record is from RNAcentral.
UGCCAGCCGCCGCGGUAAUACGGAGGGUGCAAGCGUUAUCCGGAUUUAUUGGGUUUAAAGGGUGCGUAGGCGGAAUGAUAAGUCAGUGGUGAAAGCCCACAGCUCAACUGUGGAACUGCCAUUGAUACUGUCAUUCUUGAAUCUAGUUGAAGUGGACGGAAUGUAACAUGUAGCGGUGAAAUGCAUAGAUAUGUUACAGAACACCAAUUGCGUAGGCAGUUCACUAAGCUAGUAUUGACGCUAAGGCACGAAAGCGUGGGUAGCGAACAGGAUUAGAUA